CCCCUUUGGCAUGGCUGCCCUGUGGGCCCUGCUCCUGCUACUCUCUGUGAGUGUCUUGUUUUGAGUGCACAGUACAAUCAGAGCUAAUCUGGAUUACAGUGGGGGAAAAAAUAUGUUGGAAACUCAAGACUUGAGGAAUGAGCAAAGCUUCUUCCCUGAGAUUGCAUCACUGUGGAGAAAAGAGGGCAAUUAAAACAGUGGAAGAUACUCUCCUAAUGAAAUGGGAAAGGCACAAACCAAUAAUUAAUACAAAUAGUAUUGUGGUUCCUGAUUAAAGAGCAUGCAAUAAUUGAUAAUGGAGCAUGCAAAUAUUAUUUCCCACCAAUAGGUGCCAGUAUAAGCUAAUUAAG
This 350-nucleotide long non-coding RNA is filed under the name Anas platyrhynchos platyrhynchos (common mallard). RNAcentral describes it as "lncRNA (ENSAPLG00000019935.1)". The record is from RNAcentral. Lineage: Eukaryota; Metazoa; Chordata; Aves; Anseriformes; Anatidae.